This is a long non-coding RNA of Dioscorea cayenensis subsp. rotundata (Guinea yam), 377 nucleotides long. RefSeq lists it as uncharacterized. Lineage: Eukaryota; Viridiplantae; Streptophyta; Magnoliopsida; Dioscoreales; Dioscoreaceae. The record is from RefSeq and is a predicted model, not a curated record. The transcript has 3 exons.
CCAAGUGUCAAAUCCUCGCCGUUGCUUGCCGUGGGUAGCCGCCUCUCGCAUCCUCGCCGUCCCUUCGCCAUUGCUUGCCAUGGAGGAAGAGGAAGAGGAAGAGGAAGAGGGAAGGGGAAGGGGAGUAGAAAGACCUAAAACUACCAACAAAUGAAGAAAUCCAUAAUUAAGAGAAUAUUAAUGUUUGGAGAUAUUGAUGUAUUAAACAUCAUUUUUUGAACAUAUGGAUAUAUUGAUGUAUUUGUAAACAUCAUUUUAUGAAUUACAUGUGGAGUUGUUGAUGUAUUAAUAUUAUUUUGUGAACAUGUGGAGAUGUUGUUGUAUUUGUAAACAUCAUUUUACAUGUUAAUGUAUUUGUAAACAUUUUUGUGGAGAUA